RNAcentral lists this ribosomal RNA (493 nucleotides) under uncultured bacterium. Its description in RNAcentral is "bacterial SSU rRNA". It matches the Rfam family "Bacterial small subunit ribosomal RNA", at positions 17 to 507 of the family's 1533-position model. The record is from RNAcentral.
UCCUGGCUCAGAUUGAACGCUGGCGGCAUGCCUUACACAUGCAAGUCGAACGGUAACAGGUCUUCGGAUGCUGACGAGUGGCGAACGGGUGAGUAAUACAUCGGAACGUGCCCAGACGUGGGGGAUAACGAGGCGAAAGCUUUGCUAAUACCGCAUACGAUCUAAGGAUGAAAGCAGGGGGCCGCAAGGCCUUGUGCGUUUGGAGCGGCCGAUGGCAGAUUAGGUAGUUGGUGGGAUAAAAGCUUACCAAGCCGACGAUCUGUAGCUGGUCUGAGAGGACGACCAGCCACACUGGGACUGAGACACGGCCCAGACUCCUACGGGAGGCAGCAGUGGGGAAUUUUGGACAAUGGGCGAAAGCCUGAUCCAGCAAUGCCGCGUGCAGGAUGAAGGCCUUCGGGUUGUAAACUGCUUUUGUACGGAACGAAAAGGCUCUGGCUAAUACCUGGAGCAUAUGACGGUACCGUAAGAAUAAGCACCGGCUAACUACGUG